CAUGCAGUCGGACGGUAGCACAGAGAGCUUGCUCUUGGGUGACGAGUGGCGGACGGGUGAGUAAUGUCUGGGGAUCUGCCCGAUAGAGGGGGAUAACCACUGGAAACGGUGGCUAAUACCGCAUAACGUCGCAAGACCAAAGAGGGGGACCUUCGGGCCUCUCACUAUCGGAUGAACCCAGAUGGGAUUAGCUAGUAGGCGGGGUAAUGGCCCACCUAGGCGACGAUCCCUAGCUGGUCUGAGAGGAUGACCAGCCACACUGGAACUGAGACACGGUCCAGACUCCUACGGGAGGCAGCAGUGGGGAAUAUUGCACAAUGGGCGCAAGCCUGAUGCAGCCAUGCCGCGUGUAUGAAGAAGGCCUUCGGGUUGUAAAGUACUUUCAGCGGGGAGGAAGGCGACGGGGUUAAUAACCCUGUCGAUUGACGUUACCCGCAGAAGAAGCACCGGCUAACUCCGUGC
RNAcentral lists this ribosomal RNA (462 nucleotides) under uncultured bacterium. RNAcentral describes it as "bacterial SSU rRNA". It matches the Rfam family "Bacterial small subunit ribosomal RNA", at positions 54 to 508 of the family's 1533-position model. The record is from RNAcentral.